Molecule: long non-coding RNA, 975 nt
Filed under: Homo sapiens (human)
Lineage: Eukaryota; Metazoa; Chordata; Mammalia; Primates; Hominidae
Description: non-protein coding lnc-ANXA4-4:1
Source: RNAcentral
CCCCAGCUCCCUGGACAGCCCUUCCAAGUAGGAUGUCACUAGGAUCCCUCACAUGGGGUCUCCUGUUGCUAUCGCUCCUGAGUUUCCUCGUGAUGUGUUACCUCAGCCUUCCCCACUACAAUGUGACAGAACAUGUAAACUGGAUGUGCUUCUGGAGUAUGAGACAAUUUACAGACAAUACCUUCACUUUGCAUUUUGAGAGCAUUCAAACUGCUCUCAUCAAAACCCAUUUCCCAUUUCUCAUCAUCCCAGUAACUUCCCAUCCCUCAAAUAUGAAAGCCAGACAGGCCAUUGGAGUUACUUGAGAUGAAAAAAAAGUGUUGGUGGAGAUAAGAGAUUCUUACGUUAUGUCUGAAAGGGAAGACAAAAUGUUAGCACUGUGCUUAGAGGGUGAACACCUUCUUUAUGGUGACAUAAUGCAACCACAUGUUUUGGAUACAUAUAAUAACAUGACCUUGAAAACCAUUAUGGCAUUCAGGUGGGUAACUGAGUUUUGCCCCAAUGCCAAGUACAUCAUGAAUACAGACACUGAUGUUUCCAUCGAUAUUUGAAAUUUAGUAAAGUAUCUUUUAAACUGAAACCAGAGAAGUUUUUCACAGGUUAUCCUCUGAGUAACAAUUAUUCCUACAGAGGAUUUCACCAAAAACCCCAUAUUUUAUACCAGAAGUAUCCUUUCAUGGUGUUCCCUCCAUACUGCAGUGUGUUGGGUUAUAAAAUGUCCAGAGGUUGGUGCCAAGGAUCUAUAAAUGAUGAGUCAUGUAAAACCCAUUAAGUUUGAAGACGUUUAUGUUGGGAUCUGUUUGAAUUUCUUAAAAGUGGAUAUUUAUACUCCAGAAGACACAAACGCUUUUCUUUUUAUGAAGAGUUGAUGUGGAUGUCUGUCAACUCAGAUGUGUGAUUGCAGCCCAUGGCUUUUUUUACAAGGAGAUCAUUACUUUUUGAUAGAUUAUGCUAAGGAACAUCACAUGCCAUUAU